Molecule: ribosomal RNA, 253 nt
Filed under: uncultured bacterium
Lineage: Bacteria
Description: partial 16S ribosomal RNA
Rfam family: Bacterial small subunit ribosomal RNA
Source: RNAcentral
UACGGAGGGAGCAAGCGUUACUCGGAAUUAUUGGGCGGAAAGGGCGCGUAGGCGAUUUGAAAAGUCUUGUGUGAAAGCCCCGAGCUUAACUCGGGAAGUGCACAAGAAACUGUUGAAUUUGAGUUCCGGAGAGGAAGGCAGAAUUCCCGGUGUAGCGGUGAAAUGCGUAGAUAUCGGGAGGAAUACCAGUGGCGAAGGCGGCCUUCUGGACGGAUACUGACGCUGAGGCGCGAAAGCCAGGGGAGCAAACGGG